This 460-nucleotide ribosomal RNA is filed under the name uncultured bacterium. RNAcentral's name for it is "partial 16S ribosomal RNA". It matches the Rfam family "Bacterial small subunit ribosomal RNA", at positions 338 to 795 of the family's 1533-position model. The record is from RNAcentral.
CCUACGGGUGGCAGCAGUGAGGAAUAUUGGUCAUUGGGCGGAAGCCUGAACCAGCCAAGUCGCGUGAGGGAUUAAGGCCCUGCGGGUCGUAAACCUCUUUUGCCGGGGAGCAGAGGUCCGGACGUGUCCGGGCCGGGAGAGUACCCGGAGAAAAAGCAUCGGCUAACUCCGUGCCAGCAGCCGCGGUAAUACGGAGGAUGCGAGCGUUAUCCGGAUUUAUUGGGUUUAAAGGGUGCGCAGGCGGAAGAUCAAGUCAGCGGUAAAAUUGAGAGGCUCAACCUCUUCGAGCCGUUGAAACUGGUUUUCUUGAGUGAGCGAGAAGUAUGCGGAAUGCGUGGUGUAGCGGUGAAAUGCAUAGAUAUCACGCAGAACUCCGAUUGCGAAGGCAGCAUACUAAACUAUAACUGACACUGAAGCACGAAAGCGUGGGGAUCAAACAGGAUUAGAUACCCCAGUAGUC